GACAUUGUUAAAAGAAACCGAAGAGCAAAGUGAUUACUUGAAAGGAUCACUAAAAGAAAUCGAAAUAGAGAGGGAUCAACUAAAGCGUAGGUUGAUUUUUGGCCGAAGAAAAAGAGAAUGGCCUAAAAAAAUUAUUGUAUGGUCUGUUGUUGGUGUUGGCUUUCUCGAUAGGUGUAAUAGGAAUGUAGGAAACUGAAUAAAUUGAUGUAUGUUUUAUUAGAUCAAUCGUGG
RNAcentral lists this long non-coding RNA (231 nucleotides) under Capsicum annuum. RNAcentral describes it as "long non-coding RNA (CANN_LNC022303)". The record is from RNAcentral. Lineage: Eukaryota; Viridiplantae; Streptophyta; Magnoliopsida; Solanales; Solanaceae.